This 612-nucleotide ribosomal RNA is filed under the name Chenopodium album (lamb's quarters). RNAcentral's name for it is "eukaryotic LSU rRNA". The stretch from base 224 to 379 matches the Rfam family "5.8S ribosomal RNA". Lineage: Eukaryota; Viridiplantae; Streptophyta; Magnoliopsida; Caryophyllales; Amaranthaceae. The record is from RNAcentral.
AACCUGCCCAGCAGAGCGACCAGAGAACAUGUUUAUCAUGAACGGGGAAGUGGCGAAAGCCCCUUCCCCAAGUUGGGGAGGUGCUUCGCCUUGGCGGGGCAUCUUCUCGGCACAAUAACGAACCCCGGCGCGGUCUGCGCCAAGGAACAUAAAUACAUGUGUGCCCUUCUGCAGCCGGUUUGCCGGUUGUAUAGGUGGCACCAAGUCGUAUAUAACUUUAAACGACUCUCGGCAACGGAUAUCUCGGCUCUCGCAUCGAUGAAGAACGUAGCGAAAUGCGAUACUUGGUGUGAAUUGCAGAAUCCCGUGAACCAUCGAGUCUUUGAACGCAAGUUGCGCCCGAAGCCUUUAGGUCGAGGGCACGCCUGCCUGGGCGUCACGCAUCGCGUCUCCCCCCACCCACCUUGAGUGGGAGGGCCGGAGGAUGAUGGCCUCCCAUGCCUCACCGGGUGUGGAUGGCCUAAAUACGGAGCCCCCGGUUACGAAGUGCCGCGGCAAUAGGUGGUAGACAAGGCCUAGCCUAGGAUGCAUCGGAGUCGCGCACUUUGUAGCUCUUGAGGACUCGCAGGACCCUUAGUUUGUUCGCCCUUAGGGACGGCAAAACCGUUGCGA